GAUGAAGAACGCAGCGAAAUGCGAUACGUAAUGUGAAUUGCAGAAUUUAGUGAAUCAUCGAGUCUUUGAACGCACAUUGCGCCCCCUGGUAUUCCGGGGGGCAUGCCUGUCCGAGCGUCAUUGCUGCCCUCAAGCACGGCUUGUGUGUUGGGCCUCCGUCCUCCUCCCGGGGGACGGGCCCGAAAGGCAGCGGCGGCACCGCGUCCGGUCCUCGAGCGUAUGGGGCUUCGUCACCCGCUCUUGUAGGCCCGGCCGGCGCUUGCCGACACAUCAAUCUUUUUUCCAGGUUGACCUCGGAUCAGGUAGGGAUACCCGCUGAACUUAAGCAUAUCAAUAAGCGGAGGA
This 345-nucleotide unclassified non-coding RNA is filed under the name soil metagenome. RNAcentral's name for it is "partial contains 5.8S ribosomal RNA, internal transcribed spacer 2, and large subunit ribosomal RNA". The stretch from base 1 to 120 matches the Rfam family "5.8S ribosomal RNA", at positions 35 to 154 of the family's 154-position model. The record is from RNAcentral.